CGAUUAUCAUGUUACCAGCGUUCAGCGUCUCCGAAGGAUGUCAGGCACUCGGACACUUAAGCUAUUCAGCUAGAAAAUUACCAAGGCUUGAAAUAGCACUCUGUAUUAUUUUAUUCAUAAAUAAAAUAGCUUGAAACAGCUGAAUAAUGUACUGAAACAUUUUCCAUUAUCAGUCUGAUUUGGGAAAAAAUUAUCGUAGAAAAUUCUCUGAGAAGCUAAAAGGAC
Molecule: non-coding RNA, 225 nt
Organism: Pelobates cultripes (western spadefoot toad)
Lineage: Eukaryota; Metazoa; Chordata; Amphibia; Anura; Pelobatidae
Source: the annotation of a GenBank genome assembly